CUCAUGAUGAAUCAUAUGUAC
Molecule: non-coding RNA, 21 nt
Filed under: Caenorhabditis elegans
Lineage: Eukaryota; Metazoa; Nematoda; Chromadorea; Rhabditida; Rhabditidae
Source: RNAcentral